This is a non-coding RNA of Salmo salar (Atlantic salmon), 72 nucleotides long. Lineage: Eukaryota; Metazoa; Chordata; Actinopteri; Salmoniformes; Salmonidae. The record is from Rfam.
GACCGCGUGGCUCAACGGUAGCGCGUCUGACUCCAGAUCAGAAGGUUGCGUGUUCAAAUCACGUCGUGGUCA